Molecule: long non-coding RNA, 200 nt
Filed under: Amborella trichopoda
Lineage: Eukaryota; Viridiplantae; Streptophyta; Magnoliopsida; Amborellales; Amborellaceae
Description: long non-coding RNA (ATRI_LNC003425)
Source: RNAcentral
AGCUGUCCAUCUCUCUCUCAUUGUUAUGGAUGUGCACACUGAGAUAUGCAUCUAAUCAUGCCGUCAAUAAUUUAAGAUUUGGGUUUGGGUCAAUAUGAUAGCAGCUGAUUUCCGUUUGAUGGGACUUCAAUGGUUAUCACUGUCCGUUUGAUGGGACUUCAAUAGUUCUGUCCGUUUGAUGGAUUUUGCGAUAGAGAAAG